RNAcentral lists this ribosomal RNA (116 nucleotides) under Danio rerio (zebrafish). The record is from RNAcentral. Lineage: Eukaryota; Metazoa; Chordata; Actinopteri; Cypriniformes; Danionidae.
UCUGUUUGCAUGUCACCCUGCAGCCCAAGACCGGUUACUCACUGAAGCUAAGCAGGGCUGAGCCUGGUCAGUACCUGGAUGGGAGACCACUAGGGAACACUAGGUUGCUGUUGGAA